AGUGAACGCUGGCGGUAGGCCUAACACAUGCAAGUCGAACGGCAGCACCGUAAGAGCUUGCUCUUACGGGUGGCGAGUGGCGGACGGGUGAGGAAUACAUCGGAAUCUACUUUUUCGUGGGGGAUAACGUAGGGAAACUUACGCUAAUACCGCAUACGACCUACGGGUGAGAGCAGGGGAUCUUCGGACCUUGCGCGAUUGAAUGAGCCGAUGUCGGAUUAGCUAGUUGGCGGGGUAAAGGCCCAGCAAGGCGACGAUCCGUAGCUGGUCUGAGAGGAUGGUCGGCGACACGGGAACUGAGACACGGUCCAGACUCCUGCGGGAGGCAGCAGUCGGGAAUAUUGGGCAAUGGGCGCAAGCCUGAUCCAGCCAUACCGCGUGGGUGAAGAAGGCGUUCGGGUUGUAAAGCCCUUUUGUUGGGAGAGAAAAGCAGCAGGUUAAUACGCCGCUGUUCUGACGGUACCCGAAGAAUAAGCACCGGCUAACUUCGUG
RNAcentral lists this ribosomal RNA (492 nucleotides) under uncultured bacterium. RNAcentral describes it as "partial 16S ribosomal RNA". It matches the Rfam family "Bacterial small subunit ribosomal RNA", at positions 29 to 507 of the family's 1533-position model. The record is from RNAcentral.